UGGAUGCUGGCUUAGUGGUCUAUAGGUUAAGCGUUCGCGAGAGAGGCUGAAGGUCCUGGGUUCGAAUCCCAUGUGUGGG
RNAcentral lists this transfer RNA (79 nucleotides) under Schistosoma mansoni. The record is from RNAcentral. Lineage: Eukaryota; Metazoa; Platyhelminthes; Trematoda; Strigeidida; Schistosomatidae.